AGGGUUUGAUCAUGGCUCAGGACGAACGCUGGCGGCGUGCUUAACACAUGCAAGUCAAGGAGAACGGAUCCUUCGGGAUACUAUUAAACUGGCGAACGGGUGAGUAACACGUAGGCAACCUGCCUUGGAGAUUGGGAUAACCCCGGGAAACCGGGACUAAUACCAAAUAAUGCAGCGUACCCUUCGGGAUAUGUUGUUAAAGUGGGCUUCGGCUCACACUUCAAGAUGGGCCUGCGUCCGAUUAGCUUGUUGGUGAGGUAAUGGCUCACCAAGGCGAUGAUCGGUAGCUGGUCUGAGAGGAUGAUCAGCCACACUGGGAUUGAGAUACGGCCCAGACUCCUACGGGAGGCAGCAGUGGGGAAUUUUGCGCAAUGGACGAAAGUCUGACGCAGCAACGCCGCGUGAUCGAUGAAGCUUCUAGGAGUGUAAAGAUCUGUCGUGAGGGAAGAAAAAUCUGGAUGUAAAUAAUGUUCAGACGUGACGGUACCUCACAAGAAAGCACCGGCUAACUUCGUGCCAGCAGCCGCGGUAAUACGAGGGGUGCUAGCGUUGUCCGGAAUUACUGGGCGUAAAGGGUUCGUAGGCGUCUUGCCAAGUUGAUCGUUACAGCCACCGGCUUAACCGGUGAUCUGCGAUCAAAACUUGCGAGAUAGAAUAUGUGA
RNAcentral lists this ribosomal RNA (662 nucleotides) under uncultured bacterium. RNAcentral's name for it is "bacterial SSU rRNA". It matches the Rfam family "Bacterial small subunit ribosomal RNA", at positions 8 to 653 of the family's 1533-position model. The record is from RNAcentral.